RNAcentral lists this unclassified non-coding RNA (3136 nucleotides) under Hevea brasiliensis (rubber tree). Lineage: Eukaryota; Viridiplantae; Streptophyta; Magnoliopsida; Malpighiales; Euphorbiaceae. The record is from RNAcentral.
CUUGAGCUGGUCUGCAGAGGUGCUCGCCAGGUCCAAGCCUUGACCUUUGUCUCACUUCUUCUUGGUCUCACAAACUCACUCUCCAUGCAGUUCAAAGCAUCCAAGGUCUUAUCUUUAUUUUAUUUUCUUUGAUUAAUUCAUGUUACAUCUGCUAAAUCGGUGUAUAUUCCGCAUCUGCUUUGUAUCUAAUCCCUUACCCCUCUCAAAAUUGAUUUUCUUCUAUUUCACUAUUAAAUUUAACAGAAGUUUUGAUGAUUGGAAAGUAUAAUUAUCAUUAAAAUGGGUAAGGCAAAUGUGACAUUAAUUCUAAAAAAAAUUAGGGCUUCAUGAUUAUCUCCUGCGGAUAGGCUGUAAUUAUCUUCAUAAGUUGCCUACAAUAUGUUGGCAUAAUUGCCUAGGUGGGGUUGAUGAUGCCUACUGAGUUGUGUAGAAUUCAUUUUCUGUUUUAUUUUACUAGAUUAAUGAUAUUCUCUUUGGUUAUUGUGGUUCAACAAGCAAUCGAUAUUUCACGAUCAAGGGUGUAGUAUUAUUGGUAGUAGUGGUCCUUCAUCUGAAAAGAAUUCUCGAUUUGAAAACACAGAGACAAAGGACUGAUCUUUGAUCUUUGAAUGGGAAAAAAAGGAAAAAAGAAAGAGUAAGGAAAAGGAUAUAUGAAGGGAUCUAAGUUGUUCCAUUUAUUAAAUGAAGGGCAAUUAAUGUCCUUCUUCCUACGCAAAAGGCAACUGAAAUUCCCUUCAACCGGGAACAAGAUUGUCUUCCUUAGAAGCAAAAGCAAAAAGUUUGAUUUAAGGGACUCAUUUGCUGCUCUGCGCCUUUGCCUGUGGUGUAACAAUUAAAAAGCACAAGAUCUGCUUUCUAAAGCCGUUUAAAGUCUUCAAUAAUCCACAAUAUAUAUGUACUUAUUUAUUGUCUGGUGUUCAUGCUUUCUGAUUUUUAGUUUAACUGCGAAAGAAAAUCAUAUUAUUAAAAUAUAUUAUUUUUGUUAUUAUACUCUCUAUCUCACUAUUACGUACAUAGACGGAUUUCCGUCUUUCAAUGUUCUUACCAGGCAGAAACUUCAACUAGUGGGUGGUGUUUCCUCAAUGCUCAUUGCAUCAAAAUAUGAAGAAAUCAGCCCUCCAAAUGUGGAAGACUUUUGUUAUAUAACUGAUAAUACUUAUACCAAAGAAGAGGUGGUGAAGAUGGAGGCUGACAUACUGAAGUCACUGAAGUUUGAAUUGGGCAGUCCUACAGUAAGGACAUUCCUAAGGAGAUUUACCAGUGUUGCACAAGAGGAUUACAAGAGCUUGAAUUUGCAGCUCGAGUUCCUGGGGUACUACCUUGCUGAGUUAAGUUUGUUGGAUUAUAAUUGUGUGAAAUUUUUGCCUUCUUUGGUGGCUGCAUCUGUUAUCUUUCUGGCAAGAUUCAUAAUUAAACCAAAGAUGCAUCCCUGGACUUUAACCCUGCAACAGUAUUCUGGAUACAAAUCUUCUGACUUGAAGGAAUGUGUUCUUAUCAUACAUGACUUGUAUUUGAGUAGAAGAGGUGGUGGAUUACAAGCCGUGAGAGAAAAAUACAAACAGCAUAAGUUUAAACGUGUUGCAAGUAUGCCUUCACCUCCAGAGGUACCGGCUUCUUUUUUCGAAGACCUUGAAGAAUGAAUGUUUGGCAUUUAAUGAUUUGGGAGGUUACAAGUGAAUGAGAAUGGACCCUGCUCUUGGAAUUCCUAAAAGAGAGGAAUCCUAGCAUCAGAAACAUAGCUAUUUGAGAUGUUCCAGCUUAAUCCUGGUUGAUAGAGGGGAAGUUUUUGCAAUGAUCUGCUGUGGUUUUAUCCUUGCUGGUGCUUGUGAAUCUGCUGCUUAGGGAUUUAACAGUCAGCAUGAAUGGCAUUUACUAACGCAAUUAGCUGCUAAUUAUACCUGAGGCUAGGCAACUCUUUGGAUUGUUAGGAAAUUGGAUUUCCUUGGAAAAUAUUGUAAAUGUUUUGAUGACACGGUUAUUAUUUUAUUUCAAAUGUGCCCAUGGUGUAAAAUCCUUGUGCUCUGAAAUGAUAUGUAGCCAUGCCUGUUCACUUUUUCAGGCAUAUCAGAAAUUCAUUAUAGUUCCAUCUAAAUUAGUUUAGAUGGAUUCUCACCAUGUGAUGACCGUUAGUUGUAUAACUUUUUUCUGGUGUGGGAAUUGGUCAUGGUAUGACAAAAUUGAGUGCUUGAGGCCUUGUGAUGUUCAAUUGCUUUACAUUAGAGAAGCACUUACAACUGUUUUACAAACCUGCAUUUUGAGUUAACUAGCCAUUCUGUCAAGUGGAGCAAACCUUUUCAGCAUUCAGUUUCCCUGUACUGGGAGGCUCUCUACAAUGAGUUUCAAACAAAUUACUUAAUACUUAGCUCCAAAUUGCUGCUUAUCAAACGAAAAUGAAUGAAGCAGGUAUUUGCAUAGUUAGCAUUAGAAUUCAAGAUGGCAGUGGCAGCGAAAUAGAUGGAAGUCUCAAAGCCGCAGAGUGAGGUCAACUUUAAGCAAGUCUGAUGGCUGACUGUUCUGGUCCGAGGGUAUGCGAAAGCUUCCUGGCCAAUUUACCAUUGUUGCCUCUUCAGGAACGAUUGCUUUCCAUUCUACCUUAUAUCUCUGGUUAACAUUGUUGAAUCUUGCAAUCAUAGCAUUCCUUUCUCUAUAUGGUUUGUGGACAAGUGAAUAGGCCUGAACACCAAGUGCAAGAUCAACUGUUUUACUAGUAAACAUAUCAUUCGCUGACAUUUGUCUCUCAUACUGGUACCUUCUGAUUGCUCCUCUUUCCCUCUUGUGGGCAUUCUGGUGGCCACCCAGUGCUUGCGAGCUCUGGAACUUUCUCUUGCAGAAGUUACAUGGGAAAACCUUGUUGGGAAUUGAAUUUGACAAAGAAACCUGUUCUAUAUCUACAAAAUCCCCUGGCCGACUGAUGCUCAAGUUCAACCAUUCAUUUGAGUUGCCUGCUUCAUUACCUCCAAAAUAAUUAUCUCCAAAAAUUUUGUUGUUCUUGUUAAUGGGUGAAAUUCCAGUUAUGUUGGUCUGGAAUAUCAUCUUCACCACCGGAGACUGCUAGUGUUAUGGAGGCUAAAGGAUUUAGAGGCUCUGUACGUAUAUUACUUGUGGGUGAUGAGAAAGAGGACAGGGUAGUGCAUAC